RNAcentral lists this ribosomal RNA (301 nucleotides) under uncultured bacterium. Its description in RNAcentral is "partial 16S ribosomal RNA". It matches the Rfam family "Bacterial small subunit ribosomal RNA", at positions 509 to 807 of the family's 1533-position model. The record is from RNAcentral.
CAGUCGCCACGGGAAUACGAAGGGUGCAAGCGUUAUCCGGAAUUAUUGGGCGUAAAGAGCUCGUAGGCGGUUUGUCGCGUCUGCCGUGAAAGUCCGGGGCUCAACCCCGGAUCUGCGGUGGGUACGGGCAGACUAGAGUGAUGUAGGGGAGACUGGAAUUCCUGGUGUAGCGGUGAAAUGCGCAGAUAUCAGGAGGAACACCGAUGGCGAAGGCAGGUCUCUGGGCAUUAACUGACGCUGAGGAGCGAAAGCAUGGGGAGCGAACAGGAUUAGAUACCCCCGUAGUCCCUGUCUCUUAUAC